ACGACCGGUUCGUCGGCGGCGAGAAACUCCCGGGCAAGGUGACUUUCGUCUCGGCGCAGGAGCAUACAGGCCCGGUGAGCGUCGGCCCGUCGGUGGACCGAGGAAGACCGUCGCGGAGCGGCGUCGACCGUUCGUCGUGUGUUGGCGUUCGACUCGGGGGGACUGGUUCCAGUGCCCUCGGACCGCCCCGGCGCAGCGGCGGGCGCGCACGGCGUCGCGCCUGGGCUCGGUGGCGAAUCGGCCGGCAACCUGUCCGACCCGUCUUGAAACACGGACCAAGGAGUCUAACAUGUGCGCGAGUCGUUGGGCGCUACGAAACCCGAAGGCGCAAUGAAAGUGAAGGCCCGGUCUCCGGCCGGCCUGGGUGGGAUCCCGGCGGUCUCGGCCGUCGGGCGCACCACCGGCCCGUCUCGUUCGUUACGUCGAGGAGGCGGAGCAAGAGCGUACACGUUGGGACCCGAAAGAUGGUGAACUAUGCCCGAGUAGGACGAAGCCAGAGGAAACUCUGGUGGAGGUCCGCAGCGAUUCGGACGUGCAAAUCGAUCGUCAAACUUGGGUAUAGGGGNGAAAGANUAAUCGAACCAUNUAGUAGCUGGUUNCUGUCGAAGUUUCCCUCAGGAUAGCUGGCGCUCGUCGUGAGCAGUUUUAUCCGGUAAAGCGAAUGACUGGAGGCCUUGGG
Molecule: ribosomal RNA, 679 nt
Filed under: Eiseniella tetraedra
Lineage: Eukaryota; Metazoa; Annelida; Clitellata; Crassiclitellata; Lumbricidae
Description: partial large subunit ribosomal RNA
Rfam family: Eukaryotic large subunit ribosomal RNA (bases 275-679)
Source: RNAcentral